Long non-coding RNA from Populus nigra (black poplar), 1067 nucleotides. RefSeq lists it as uncharacterized. NCBI's taxonomy places the organism in Eukaryota, Viridiplantae, Streptophyta, Magnoliopsida, Malpighiales, Salicaceae. The transcript is spliced from 2 exons. The record is from RefSeq and is a predicted model, not a curated record.
CCAAGGCAAUAACCAUUUUCUUAUCAACAACACAUGCUUCAAUAUUAGGUUUAAUAAGUUAAUAUAUUUUAAUCAGAAUUUGCUUUCAUGUAGUAGUAUGAUCCCAUUCUCACCCCAACUAAUGAGUGGUCCCUGAUGAAUACUAAAAUCCCUCAAAUUCCUUGCUCAUACACUCAGAUUCUAUUUCCUAUUAGACAAUGAGAGCAACAACAUGAACUGCUUAACAGUUUAGUAUUAUCAAAUUAUCCAUUGUCUGCCAUUGACGCAUCUCUCCUCAAACAAUGAAGUUGGCAGUUCCCUUACAUUACUCAACUUGUCUGCUGGCACAAACUCUCUAAAGCUGCUACUUUGGAAUGUUAAAGGAGAGCUCUCAAGGCAUCUCCUGACGGUAGUAUUCAACAUGUUAGUUUCUUGGAGGCAAAAGUGCUUGCUAUUUACUCUUCUUGCUUUCGUUGUUCUCUCAUCAGACGCAUCAAGAUUGCCUAAGGCUUACUGGGAACAAAUGUUGCCCAAGAAGCUGCCUGCUCCUUCCUCAUCCCCCUCUAAAGGCACCAAUUCAGUCUCCAGAUCAUAUUCUACAACGUAGUACAUGCAGUCUUGAAAUUCGCACUGAUCCCAAAGAAAGCAUAUGUCGAGUUUUGUAAAUUAGUCUACAUGAUGAUGUGUGUGUAUAUAUACAUGCUUUAAAGAGAAGCAAACUCUUGUGGAUUUUCUCGACUUGGUCUGCGAAAACACUGUAAAGGUGAUUGAACAGAGAUAUUUACAAUGAAUCAGCAGGAUGAAAUAAUCAAUACUGAGCUCUAGAUGGAAAGAUUCUUCCUAGGAGUUUGGAUUUCACAACUGAGCUUGGUUUUGUUACUAGAGAAACAUUGAUCAUGUUAAUGCAGAGAAAUAACUUACUAUAGCAUUUUUUUGUAGAUUUUCUUUCAUGUAACUAAUCUCUCUUGUAAUUUGGGUGUUACCUUCAGCAUAAUCACAACUCAAAACUUUACGAAGCAAAUAUAUCUUCAAAUUCUGUGAGCAGAUGCGUUAUUCUUGAAAAUAAAGUUUCUCACGAAUUUUAUUAA